Molecule: ribosomal RNA, 441 nt
Filed under: uncultured bacterium
Lineage: Bacteria
Description: partial 16S ribosomal RNA
Rfam family: Bacterial small subunit ribosomal RNA
Source: RNAcentral
CCUACGGGUGGCAGCAGUGGGGAAUAUUGCACAAUGGGGGAAACCCUGAUGCAGCGACGCCGCGUGAGUGAAGAAGUAUUUCGGUAUGUAAAGCUCUAUCAGCAGGAACGAGACAAGACGGUACCUGACUAAGAAGCCCCGGCUAACUACGUGCCAGCAGCCGCGGUAAUACGUAGGGGGCAAGCGUUAUCCGGAAUCACUGGGUGGAAAGGGAGCGUAGACGGCUGUGCAAGCCUGAAGUGAAAGGCGGGGGCCCAACCCCUGGACUGCUUUGGGAACUGUACGGCUGGAGUGCAGGAGAGGUAAGUGGAAUUCCCAGUGUAGCGGUGAAAUGCGUAGAUAUUAGGAGGAACACCAGUGGCGAAGGCGGCUUACUGGACUGUAACUGACGUUGAGGCUCGAAAGCGUGGGGAGCAAACAGGAUUAGAUACCCUGGUAGUC